This 695-nucleotide ribosomal RNA is filed under the name Macrolophus pygmaeus. Its description in RNAcentral is "partial 28S ribosomal RNA". It matches the Rfam family "Eukaryotic large subunit ribosomal RNA", at positions 386 to 795 of the family's 3401-position model. Lineage: Eukaryota; Metazoa; Arthropoda; Insecta; Hemiptera; Miridae. The record is from RNAcentral.
UUCAGGGGGUAACGGAAAAGAGCCGAAAUAUCCGCGAGGGGAGAUUCACGUCUACUCGCUGGCUCGACGGUCUGCCUUUGUCGGACGGUUCGACGCCCCAUCCGGGGAAACUCGGAACGGUGGGUCGAGCCGCCCAAGGUUGUACCGGAGGGCUGCGGCAGACCGCACUUCUCCUCUCGGUGGACGUCGCGACCCGAUCGGCCAUUGUCUGAGGUAUUGGGGUGGAGCCUGUACGGCUGUCAUUUCACUAUGAUUUGUCCGUGCAGACCCCCUUUUGCCUGACAGUGGAACCUACUGGUCGGUAUCAAAAGACAGUGUAGAACCGCUCCACGGCUAUGGGGUCAUCCUGUACCGAGAGCGCGCUCGGCCCUUGGCAAGGCAGCGUGUCGCGGCUCAAUGCAGACUUACGUCUGCCUGACUGCGCUCGCGUCUGUUGGCCAGAGGUGCCCUGUCGCAGGUUCACCCAAUCACAUUGGCACUAGUCAGCGGCGAAUGAGUUUCGGCAUCUUGUCCGACCCGUCUUGAAACACGGACCAAGGAGUUUUGCGUGUGCGCAAGUCAUUGGGUUCAAAAACCCAAAGGCGAAAUGAAAGUGAAGGAAACUUAACUUUCCGAAGGAGGAUGUGUGUUGUCCUUUCACGAGGACAGCACCGCACUCCUAGGGCGUCCCAUCUUGUUACAAGAGGAGGCGCACC